UCUACAGCUCAGUGAUGGUUUCAGAAUUUAUACCUCUGAAUCUGCUCAGAAUGAGACAGAACUGAAUCAGUCACAACAUCAGACGACACAGCAGGCUCUGAUUGUUUUAUACGUCAUACUGAACAUUGUGAUGUUUUCUGCAGUGAUAGGCCUAUUCCAGCUCAAACUCAAAGCUUGUAAGAAAAGGCAGUUUUUCUGCAGAAAUGGUGAAG
Sinocyclocheilus anshuiensis is the source of this 212-nucleotide long non-coding RNA. RefSeq lists it as uncharacterized. The record is from RefSeq and is a predicted model, not a curated record. The transcript is spliced from 3 exons. Lineage: Eukaryota; Metazoa; Chordata; Actinopteri; Cypriniformes; Cyprinidae.